AGAAAGCAUCAUGUCCAAGCUGGCUUCCAAAAUUUCUCCCUAAUUUCUGCUCUUUGGUGGGGUCUCAGCAGUUACUGCAGAAGGUGAAUCCUGUGAAGACAGCAUCAGUGAAAGGUCAGCUGGUGGUCAGCAUCGUGCUUCACUGGGUCGGCAGCACAGCUGAAUGUUGCCAGGAAAUGAACAUUUGUACGGCCCGAGGAGCAUUUUUAAGGCCAGCUGGUUUUGCUUCCAGCUCUGCAUACUGAGUCACAUGGGGUCAGGCUGAGGCGGACACCUGCAAGUAGAGUGACGGAUUGGAGCUGAGUUAACCAAGCUGCCCUUUGCUGAUUACAGACUGAUGAACACUUUGAAAUGCUGCAGAAAACUAGGGUAGAAAAAAAGUUAAACUUAUGUGAGGAGUAAAAGGCAGUCCUGGGGUAUGUUUGUGACGUGCUGCUGGAGAUUUAUGCAACUCUUAUGAAAGGAAGAAAUGCAGCUGGACUUGUGCCAAAGAAGGAAUUAAAAGCAAGCAGAGAACAUGUGCUGUUCCUGGAGACAAACAAAAUAGCAUGUGGUCCUGAUCCAAGGAGGCUUCUGAGCGCGAGGCGAAGGCA
This is a long non-coding RNA of Lagopus muta (rock ptarmigan), 593 nucleotides long. RefSeq lists it as uncharacterized. NCBI's taxonomy places the organism in Eukaryota, Metazoa, Chordata, Aves, Galliformes, Phasianidae. The transcript has 4 exons. The record is from RefSeq and is a predicted model, not a curated record.